RNAcentral lists this ribosomal RNA (468 nucleotides) under uncultured bacterium. RNAcentral's name for it is "partial 16S ribosomal RNA". It matches the Rfam family "Bacterial small subunit ribosomal RNA", at positions 28 to 507 of the family's 1533-position model. The record is from RNAcentral.
GACGAACGCUGGCGGCGUGCUUAACACAUGCAAGUCGAACGGAAAGGCCCUGCUUUUGUGGGGUGCUCGAGUGGCGAACGGGUGAGUAACACGUGAGUAACCUGCCCUUGACUUUGGGAUAACUUCAGGAAACUGGGGCUAAUACCGGAUAGGAGCUCCUGCUGCAUGGUGGGGGUUGGAAAGUUUCGGCGGUUGGGGAUGGACUCGCGGCUUAUCAGCUUGUUGGUGGGGUAGUGGCUUACCAAGGCUUUGACGGGUAGCCGGCCUGAGAGGGUGACCGGCCACAUUGGGACUGAGAUACGGCCCAGACUCCUACGGGAGGCAGCAGUGGGGAAUAUUGCACAGUGGGCGGAAGCCUGAUGCAGCAACGCCGCGUGCGUGAUGACGGCCUUCGGGUUGUAAACCGCUUUCGCCUGUGACGAAGCGUGAGUGACGGUAAUGGGUAAAGAAGCACCGGCUAACUACGUG